This 468-nucleotide ribosomal RNA is filed under the name uncultured bacterium. Its description in RNAcentral is "partial 16S ribosomal RNA". It matches the Rfam family "Bacterial small subunit ribosomal RNA", at positions 28 to 507 of the family's 1533-position model. The record is from RNAcentral.
GACGAACGCUGGCGGCGUGCUUAACACAUGCAAGUCGAACGGAAAGGCCCUGCUUUUGUGGGGUGCUCGAGUGGCGAACGGGUGAGUAACACGUGAGUAACCUGCCCUUGACUUUGGGAUAACUUCAGGAAACUGGGGCUAAUACCGGAUAGGAGCUCCUGCUGCAUGGUGGGGGUUGGAAAGUUUCGGCGGUUGGGGAUGGACUCGCGGCUUAUCAGCUUGUUGGUGGGGUAGUGGCUUACCAAGGCUUUGACGGGUAGCCGGCCUGAGAUGGUGACCGGCCACAUUGGGACUGAGAUACGGCCCAGACUCCUACGGGAGGCAGCAGUGGGGAAUAUUGCACAAUGGGCGGAAGCCUGAUGCAGCAACGCCGCGUGCGGGAUGACGGCCUUCGGGUUGUAUACCGCUUUCGCCUGUGACGAAGCGUGAGUGACGGUAAUGGGUAAAGAAGCACCGGCUAACUACGUG